CCCUUAGAUGUUCUGGGCCGCACGCGCGCUACACUGAUGCAUUCAACGAGUUUCUUCCUGGUCCGAGAGGAAUGGGUAACCUUUUGAAAGUGCAUCGUGAUAGGGAUAGACUAUUGCAAUUAUUGGUCUUCAACGAGGAAUGCCUAGUAGGCGCAAGUCAUCAGCUUGCGUCGAUUACGUCCCUGCCCUUUGUACACACCGCCCGUCGCUCCUACCGAUUGGGUGUGCUGGUGAAAUGUUCGGAUCGGCCGUUUGUCGCGGUUUCCGCGUCAUGUGGCUGAGAAGUUCAUUAAACCCUCCCACCUAGAGGAAGGAGAAGUCGUAACA
This 327-nucleotide ribosomal RNA is filed under the name uncultured eukaryote. Its description in RNAcentral is "partial 18S ribosomal RNA". It matches the Rfam family "Eukaryotic small subunit ribosomal RNA", at positions 1470 to 1796 of the family's 1831-position model. The record is from RNAcentral.